This 1341-nucleotide long non-coding RNA is filed under the name Sus scrofa (pig). RNAcentral describes it as "lncRNA (ENSSSCG00005038658.1)". The record is from RNAcentral. Lineage: Eukaryota; Metazoa; Chordata; Mammalia; Artiodactyla; Suidae.
GUUGGCCAAGACCGGCAGCUCCCACGGGGACCCCAGAUCCCGGCCCUGGAGAGCCCCUGUGAGAGCGGGUGUGGGGACACGGAGGAGGACCCCAGCUGCCCGCAGCUCCCUUCCAGAGACUCUCCGAGGUGCCUCAUGCUGGCCUUGUCGCAAAGCCCCACCAGUGACCCUCCUUUUGGCAAGAAGAACUGCGAGCAGACCUUGGCAGUGGAGCUGUGUGGCACGGCAGGUGAGCCGGGGCCUCGGCUGCUGGGUUGCCCCAUCGAGCCGGCCUUGCCGCCACUGCACAGGCUGCACUGGGUCCUGAGAUACACACCGAGGGCGUUACAAGGGGAGUCGGGGCCUGGGCUCAGCCGCUCGCUCAGCUGCCAGCAGUUGGCACGUGACCUGGUGCAAAAAGAGAGAGACAUGAGUCUUUCCCGAAGGAGCCCCAACGGACCCUCCCCACGACAAGUGCUGUUUGAUACACGCUCUUUCCAAAGGCUGUGCAGAAACACGGCCGAAGGGCAGGCGGGGGCCAGGCUGUGGCCUGGGAGGAAGCUCAGGGUACCAGAGCAGCAGGCAUCUGAGCUGGGCGUGCGGGGUCAAGUCGGAGAGACGGACGGGAGGAGCACGAGCACACGCGGGGCCCAGAGGAGCAAGAGGUGUGCCCGGGGUGGGUCUGCGGCAGACCCGGGGGUCGGGCAAGAGCAGAGGCCCAGAGGGACGCCAGGCUGGUGGGUUCCAGCCGGAUCCUGUGGGCUUCGGGAGCCCCAGAGAGGAAGAGGUUUCGGGCACUGGGCAGGUGCCCUCUGGUGCCUGGGGAGGUUGGAGGCCAAGGUCAGGAGCAGGACCGCGAGGUCCCUGGGGUGGUCAAAUCCAGAUGGGAGGUUUUCCCUGCCCCGCCUGCCCCCCCCCCACCUGCACACGGGGGGGGGGGACCUCAGCCAUCAGGGAGGGCUUGUGGAGGACGGAGCAGGAAGACAGGUCUUGGGAGACCUGAGGGCUUCGGCUCCCACUGCCGGGCUGCAGGAGGAAUGGCAGGUGGGUUCUCCCUCGUGCCCGCUCCGAGUCGCUGCCGAUGGACUGUGAGGAGCCCCAGGCCACGUCUAGGCGGGGUCGGCAGCGCGCUGAUUGAUCAGUGAUGCCUGCCCUCCUUUGGGCUGGGGGAGUGGGGACACAGAAGCUGCUGCUCCGCCGUCCCAGGCUAGGGUCUCGGGGUCCCUCGGGAAGGCCGUCUGUCCCUGCCUCACGUGUCGUUCCUCUUGCUUGAGCAGGACUCACCCCGCCCACCACGCCUCCGUACAAGCCCGCGGAUGAGGAGCCCUUCAAGCCGGACGUCAAGCACAGCCCGGGCCGAGA